AAAAUGGGAGAAAAAAAGUGUUCAUAAUCUUUCGUAUUUGUUGGGUAGUAAACAGAGAACCAUUGAGAAGAUUAGGAAAGAUUCAAAAACCCUAAUCUCUUAUUCUCAUUUUCACAAAUACAACUGUGUAUGAAUAAGAAAGAGAGAUUUUCGAGUGUUUGAGACUCUUUCUAUGGUGCAGUCAAAACACUCCCACAUUGCAUUGAAACUUUAGCCGAUGGGCGUUCUAGUGUUACUCUCUUCUUUGAAGAUAAAGACUUCAAUCCAAACUGGUUCGAUUUCGAUGGUAACUUCAAGUAUAAGUUUCAUCAUCUCUUAUUCUUAUUUUUGUGAGUCUUGGAUAGAUUUACUAAAUUUUUCUCCUUACAUCAUACAAGAUUAAUAGGAGAAGAUCUGGAUUUUUACCACUGCUCCAGAAUCAGUUCAUGUCCUGCUUUGCAAGAAAGAUCCACAUUGCCCGCUUGCAGGUUUCUACUCUCUGUCUUUCUCUCUCUCUUCAAACGUUAGAACAAGAACAAAAACAAAAUAAAAUAUGCUAUGUUAUAAAUUAUUUUAGCUUACAUAACAAUUUCUAAUGUCAAUGAAACUUAUUUUUCUUUAUCAAAAAAACAACUAAAUUCUAGAAGAAAAAAAUCGUAAAUUCAA
RNAcentral lists this small RNA (645 nucleotides) under Arabidopsis thaliana (thale cress). RNAcentral describes it as "ATSL015070". The record is from RNAcentral. Lineage: Eukaryota; Viridiplantae; Streptophyta; Magnoliopsida; Brassicales; Brassicaceae.